GAGUGUAGCUCAGUGGUAAAGCAUUUGCCUAACAUGAAUGAGGCCCUGGGUUUGAUACCCAGCAACACA
RNAcentral lists this transfer RNA (69 nucleotides) under Marmota monax (woodchuck). RNAcentral describes it as "tRNA.Val". Lineage: Eukaryota; Metazoa; Chordata; Mammalia; Rodentia; Sciuridae. The record is from RNAcentral.